UUUCUUCUAUUCUUUUUUCUAUACAUUGGUGUUCUAACCAAUAAUCACCGAUGCGAUAUUAUCUCCGAUCGAUUCGGGAACCAACUAACGAAUGCAAAGGUGCUGUCUAAACAAGACUAUACUUUGUGAAUUUCGUUAAGGUUCUGAAACGAAUUCCAAAGUGUUGUCUAAAUAAGACUAUACUUUGUGAAUUUCGUUAAGGUUCUGAUCUCGUGACCAUCGUUAGGUUUGAUUGGGUUUAACACUAAUACGUAUUCCACUCUGUUAAACUAAAUGUUUAACUACCAGAAACUCUGCACUAUACACUUACAAUCAAAAUAGAAGCUUAGUUAUCAGAAGACUUAGAAUCAGGAGGCAUGUUGAAUCAAGACUAUAUGCUAACAAGGUAAUUACGGUAGAUGGGAAUAAGAGUGAUGAUACGGCACCGAAAGGCUUAAAGAAGUUGCUUAUUUUAUCAACUGAAUUAAAUUAAGAAAACAUGGUUUCAUAAAUUCGGGUUUAUCCCUUAUUAAAGCUACGUCUGUAAAAAAUGAGUUUUAUCCCAUCUAUUUAAUAAAUAAAAUCCGGUGUUUUCUAAACUCUGAUAUUUUUCCUAACUCACGGUCCUGACGAAUAUUUCCGCUGCAAUGUUUUUAAAAAUAAUCACCGGUACCACUUGACUACUCGCGGCUCCCGUCCAGGGUGGGGUCGGGGGUCGUGACAGUUAUUGUAUGAUUAUUAUUAGUUUUGAUGAUGAACGACGAUUAGGGUUGUAUGAACACUCUAAAGUAACUGUGGUUUGAUCCACUGUUCAUGCUGAAAAUGUGUUAACUGUUGUUAAGUGAUUAAGGAAUUGUAACUGUCUGUGGUGCGACGAAGACCUCCCCCGACGAAGAACUUAGUCAGACGAAGAACUGAUUUUUCGUUGACUACUCCCCGAUGAACAUUUAAGGUUCUUCGUCACGUCCCUUCUCGACGAAGAAUGGAUCUUCGCCAUUGGGACUCUUCGCCGUAGUCAACCUCGACGAAGAAUGAAUCUUCGCCGAUGGGAUUCUUCGUCGUUGGGCACUUGUGUUGUAGAAUUCUGUUUGUUGCAUGAUAAUGAAGUAAACUAGAAAUGAGGACCUUGACUUGACUAGUGUGAGUAGCCAAUUCAUCUGUUAAAUGUUAUAAUGAGACUUGCACGUGGAAUGUGGGCUUACAUGAGAACUAAGUAAAUGCUAUGCGAUAUACGGUGAUUUUGUGAUGAAUGUAAACUGUGUAAAAUACGUGACUUGAUUGAUUAUGAAACUGAUUUCAUUGGUAACCACGGUAGGGUUGGUAGACAAACGGAACGGGUAACUUGUUAUACCGAGCAAAUCUAAGGUGAGCUCACUUCUCUUGAGCAUGCGUCACGGUGGGUGGGACAAUCAAUUGGGUAUUCCUAAGAGGAAAAUGUCUGUUUGGGUAAAACUGGGAUGUUGGAUAAUACACUCAUUUCCUAUCACCUUAAGUUCCAUCUUCUACCGAAUGGUUACCUGAGAGGUAACAGGGUAUUACUUGAUAGCGCUAUUAGGCUUGGCAACCUCACACCAUACCUGAGAGGACGGGCGUGAACUAAUGACCUUAAUCAUGACUAAUGCUUAGAUAGGGGGCAUUGGGGACGGGCAAAACAAUCUGGAAGCCAUCUUGUACGGUCGUUAGGUACUAUGGACAAGGACUUGCUAUCUGGGAUUGCUGGAGUGGUCAUGGGUCGCACUGCUUGGAUAUGCACAACUUGCUUACUGAUUUUACAUACAAUUGGUUUUGAAACAUCUAAACAAUGAUUUACUACUUGCUUCCACUGAACAUGUUAAACUUGGAUUAUGUUUAUGAACAUUUUAUCAUUAUAAAUGGAAACUUUGU
Molecule: long non-coding RNA, 1863 nt
Filed under: Helianthus annuus (common sunflower)
Lineage: Eukaryota; Viridiplantae; Streptophyta; Magnoliopsida; Asterales; Asteraceae
Description: hypothetical non coding rna
Source: RNAcentral